UACGUAGGGGGCAAGCGUUGUCCGGACUUAUUGGGCGUAAAGAGCGUGUAGGCGGUUAUACAGGUCCGCUGUGAAAACUGGAGGCUUAACCUCCAGACGUCGGUGGAAACCGUAUGACUAGAGUCCGGAAGAGGAGAGUGGAAUUCCUGGUGUAGCGGUGAAAUGCGCAGAUAUCAGGAAGAACACCCGUGGCGAAGGCGGCUCUCUGGGACGGUACUGACGCUGAGACGCGAAAGCGUGGGUAGCAAACAGG
This 253-nucleotide ribosomal RNA is filed under the name uncultured bacterium. Its description in RNAcentral is "partial 16S ribosomal RNA". It matches the Rfam family "Bacterial small subunit ribosomal RNA", at positions 524 to 776 of the family's 1533-position model. The record is from RNAcentral.